GACGAACGCUGGCUGCGGGCUUAACACAUGCAAGUCGAACGGAAACGCCCUGCUUUUUUGCUUUGCUCGGCUUGCGAACGCGUACGUAACAGUAACGUAUCUUGCCCUUGACUUUGGCAUAACUUCAGGAAACUGAGGCUAAUACCAAAUACUAAUGCCUUCUUCAUGGUGGAUGUUAGGAAGUUUCGGCGGUUGAGGAUGCACUUGCGGCUUAUCAGCUUGUUAGUGUGGUAGUGGCUUACCAGGGCUUUGACGGGUAGCGGGCCUGAGAGGGUGACCGGCCACAUUGCGACUGACCUACGGGCCAGAGUACUACGGGAGGUAGCAGUGGGGAAUAUUGCCCGAUCGGCGGAAGCAUGAUGCAGCAAGGCGGCGUGAGGGAUGAUGACCUUCGGGUUUUAAACCGCUUUCGCAUGUGACGGAGCGUGAGUGCAGGUAAUGGGUAAAGAAGCACCGGCUAACUCCGUG
RNAcentral lists this ribosomal RNA (468 nucleotides) under uncultured bacterium. RNAcentral describes it as "partial 16S ribosomal RNA". It matches the Rfam family "Bacterial small subunit ribosomal RNA", at positions 28 to 507 of the family's 1533-position model. The record is from RNAcentral.